Molecule: ribosomal RNA, 476 nt
Filed under: uncultured bacterium
Lineage: Bacteria
Description: bacterial SSU rRNA
Rfam family: Bacterial small subunit ribosomal RNA
Source: RNAcentral
UGAACGCUGGCGGCACGCCUAACACAUGCAAGUCGAACGGAGUUUAAGAGAGCUUGCUCUUUAAACUUAGUGGCGGACGGGUGAGUAACACGUGAGCAACCUGCCUUUCAGAGAGGGAUAGCUUCUGGAAACGGAUGGUAAUACCUCAUAACAUAUUGAUACGGCAUCGUAUUGAUAUCAAAGAUUUUAUCGCUGAAAGAUGGGCUCGCGUCUGAUUAGCUGGUUGGUGAGGUAACGGCCCACCAAGGCAACGAUCAGUAGCCGGACUGAGAGGUUGAACGGCCACAUUGGGACUGAGACACGGCCCAGACUCCUACGGGAGGCAGCAGUGGGGAAUAUUGCACAAUGGGCGCAAGCCUGAAUGCAGCGAUGCCGCGUGAGGGAAGAAGGUUUUCGGAUUGUAAACCUCUGUCAUCGGGGACGAAAAUGACGGUACCCGAGAAGGAAGCUCCGGCUAACUACGUGCCAGCAGCUGC